Long non-coding RNA from Lutra lutra (Eurasian river otter), 664 nucleotides. RefSeq lists it as uncharacterized. The record is from RefSeq and is a predicted model, not a curated record. NCBI's taxonomy places the organism in Eukaryota, Metazoa, Chordata, Mammalia, Carnivora, Mustelidae. The transcript has 4 exons.
GGAGCCCAGGGCCAGGCUGCUUGGGGCCCAGGAUCGCUGCUGGACACAGCCCUCUGUGUAUCCUGUCACAUCCUGGGAAGUCAGCAGGUGGGAACAUCCAGGAAAAAAUAGAACCCGUGAAGCUGUCUUCCCAGCAGGCUUGUUUGCCGGGCGCUGGCACUGGGCCCUCUCCGGGCCAGGUGUGAGGGUAGGGAGAGAAGCCAGGCCCAGGCCUUACCCUCAAAGGGUUUACAGUCUAGAAGAGUGCACAGAUGUGGAAACACCUCAAUGUGUCUUCAUGAGAAAACUGAAAAAAGGAAGGAAGUGAGGGUGGCCAAAGGAGUGUGAGCAGAAGCCAUGCGUCUCUCCUCUGGGCUGAGGACAUUAAGAAACACACGUGGCUCGUCUACCUCUCUUUCCCCUGCUGCCGUGAUCACGUGGCCUAGGAGAUGGUGGAGUCCUGGGGACAGAAGGAGCUGGAGUGCCUGGAUCUCCCCUUGGAGUCAGGCUGCCUGCCAGUCAGAGUACCCACCUUGGACUUCAUGCCUCCAGGGAUGACUGAGCCGCUGAUGAGUGAACGCUUUCUGCUCCGGAGAUCUGCGUGCUGCUGUGGAAGGCAGCCUGGCAAUGCAGGAAGGCUCUUCCCAUGAUCUUUCUGGAAGCCUGGAUCCAACAGCGUGUGACU